UGAGAUACUCAAAAGUUAGUAACUCAUUCAAGAAAUGGAAAAUGAUGUCUUCUAUUUUGUCUAUUUUUACUUAUCGCUUUGCCGUUUAGGCCCAAAGAAAAACCAACCUUUCACUAUCUUAGUAGCUCGUCAAAUGACACCAAAGCUAACAUAUUAACAUCAUCAUCAUCAUAAUCGUUUUUGGAGUGUUAGAUUCUGGUCAAUUAGAGAAGAACACAACAAUCCAUAAAAAUUGAAGUAUCCGUGUCUCAGAAGCUUGAGAAAGAACUAAUAUGGAUUGGUUCGAGUGGUCAACUCACUUUUUUAUUUGAAAAGAACGUAUGGAGAUCUGAAUCAAGUGGUGUAGAAUGUGGUACUUUUCAAUGAUUGGCCUCAUAUCAUAAUGUAGUGUGGACCGUACGGAACAGACAUGAUGAAGAAACAAUUAGUGGACGAAAUGUGUUCAUAGGUCAGAUAGAUAGAACUUUCAGUGUUGGUAGCUAUUCAAUUUAGCCCAUGAUCAUUGUUACCUUUUCAGAGCAACCAAGUUGUGUACAUAUGAAUUGUAUAUGAUCUCAAAUUUAUGGAUUCAAGUUGUGCAAUCAUAUUUGUAUAUUAAACUACUAGGAAAAAUUUCAGGUAUGUCAGUUAUUUUAUUGGAAGUCUGAAAUUUCAAUUAUGCGAUCCGUUGAGAUUUAAAAUAAAAUAAUAUGAAUAGCUGCGAUUUGUUUCAGGAUGUUGGAAUUGGAAGCUGCGAAGCCAGAGUCAAGUUUUUGAAUGAAUGAGUAAAUCGAGUUGUAUCUUUUGGAUAACACGCUUCUUUUUGUUUUGUAGGAAACCGAAACUCAAAGGAAGAAAUAUUGGAAAAGUUGAUGAGUGAGAAGGUAGUGUGGAUCACAAAAGGAAAAUUUUCAUUUGUUGGGGAAAAAAAAGAGCUGGGAAAAAAUUUUAUUGGCACUCGAUUAAAAGGAAUAAUCUAUUGACUAUUGAGUGAUGAUGUUGUUAUGAAUCUAUAUAUCUCUAUACUGUUAUAUACUAACAAUAGAGAAGCCAAGCUAUUUUCAUGUUAAAUUGAAUUCAUUUUAUUCGA
Molecule: non-coding RNA, 1069 nt
Organism: Arachis ipaensis
Lineage: Eukaryota; Viridiplantae; Streptophyta; Magnoliopsida; Fabales; Fabaceae
Source: RefSeq, a predicted model, not a curated record